AAUAGGAACCCUAAUCAGACUGCAUCAGUCUAUAUUGUUACAAACUGCAAUUAAUCUGCUCAGACUGAAAAGCCAUACCAGUUUUUGACUGAAAGGCAUGUCAUUAAGUUUCUGAGUUGUUUACAUGUAAUGCAACAUGACAGGAAUUUGUGCAGAGAUGAGAGAAAAUGAGCUAUUUGAAAUUAACUGUUUGGAAUCCUGUCUAUAGCUGUUUGCAGUCUGCAGUGAAUUGGCAGGGCUGAUUACAGGGAUUUGUGUGGGUUUUGUGAGAGGGUUUCUCAUACUGAGUUGUUCUUUAAGAAAUGCUUGGUAAAAACUCGCUGCGCCUUUGGGUGUUCAGGUCUAGGAAGAGAGGAAGUAUGCACUAACACCCUUGGUUUAUAGCAAGAGUAAGUAGUAAAACUAAAAUAAGGAAAUAUAUGGAAUAUAUAAACCAGGAGAUCACACAAAUAACAUGAUUUGUACCUUAUAUGUGAAGCGUGGCACUUACCUCCCCCAGUUCCCUUACAACAGGACACCGAGGCAGCCGAUGGAGCCUGCAGAAUGGUUUGGCAAACAGCAGCAGUUAGGCACAACGGUACCACACGUGUGACUAUCAGAGAUGCUGUGCGGAAAGGUAGAAAGGAGAAGAUUACACAAGUACGGAGGAAGAUCUGCAGACUUGCCUGUACAGUGGCUUGUUGGUGUUAGUUUGGAUGUAGAGAGUCAAGGAGACAGUGUUGGGUAUAUGGCAGAACACAAACUGCUGAAAAAUAAAAUGUGCUGCAGAACUGGAAUCUCGUUAGUCUCUGCUUAAUGUUUAGCCUUUCACUCGCAAGCUGGGAGAGAUGGCAGUUCGUGUAGGAAACACCAUGUCUCUGCCAGGCUGUGCACAACAGGGGUAAUCAAACAGUCUGCAAGCACUGCACACACAUGCACUUGUCCAUGCCAAGACCAAAAAAAAAGCGUUUUGGGGGCACAAACAUACAAGCAGCUGCUGCAGCAAUCUGAGGUGCUGUUGU
This 1001-nucleotide long non-coding RNA is filed under the name Anser brachyrhynchus (Pink-footed goose). RNAcentral describes it as "lncRNA (ENSABRG00000001868.1)". Lineage: Eukaryota; Metazoa; Chordata; Aves; Anseriformes; Anatidae. The record is from RNAcentral.